This 787-nucleotide long non-coding RNA is filed under the name Homo sapiens (human). Its description in RNAcentral is "HSALNT0290548". Lineage: Eukaryota; Metazoa; Chordata; Mammalia; Primates; Hominidae. The record is from RNAcentral.
CUUCCAUGGUGGGAAGAAGGUCACAGGGUCAGGGGCGCAGAUACUCUUAAAUACCAGUUAGUGAAAACGGCACAUCAGUGUGAAAAGGCUUACUCCUUGGAAAACUGCUCCCGAGGAUUAUCUGCUAUGUGCCAAGAGAUGCCCUACUUAUUAGAUUGUGUCUGAAAAAUGAAGCCAGGUGUCUCGUCAUUUGCAAGUCAGAUAUCUUUAAGCUAGGAUGCCUCUCUGUGUCCCCUCCUGCAGUUAUCUGCCUAAAAGCAGCUCAACCAUGUGACACUGCCUUGAAAAUCCUUCUUGUUUUCACCCUGCAGGCAGAGCCGACAGCCCGCGGAGCAGGAAGCCUGAUUCCCAACCAGGCUCAUUGCUGUGUGUCUGUAAUUAAGGCCCUUGACAUCUCUGAACCUCAUUCUGCAGUUUCAGACAUCCAGGCCAGGCACCGGGCCUUCCCUCCUUCACAAGGCAGAGGGUACAAUGAGCUCACAUCCAGCGGCAUGCCCAGGGACUGGCAGAGAGCCAGCAUCCUACAAAUCCACAGGUAAAGACGGUUCCUGUUUCCACAACAGAGUCUCCACGCUGCCUCCCACUUUCAAACCAGAAACUCUCGAGUAGACAGAGAUGCCUUGUGAUCCAAUGAAGCCUGGCCCUGCCCAAAGAUCACCACUCUGCCCAUCCUAGGGGAUCCAGAAAUGCUUCUGAAUUUGUCCUCUGAGGACCUGGACCACGUCAAGAUUUGGAUGUUCAUUGGGAAGCUGUACUAGUCUGUUCUCACGUUGCUAAUAAAGACAUA